CUAAUUCUCUAAAGGUAAUCUCUUCUCCUUCCUUUCUUUCCUUGUUUUAGGGUUUAAGAAAAAUUGUAAAAUUGGUGACUGCAAUUGAAAAAUUGGUGUGUUGUGUAAUUGAAAAAUUGAUCAUUUGAAGGACAAAUUUAAACGACAACAAAGGGGAAUGAUUAUUUGAUUUUGAAGUUAGAAACUUAGAAUGAUUAUUUGAAGUUUGAAUGGGAAAUGACUACUACAGUAAAAGAUUAGUAGUUGUUAUGUGAAUUGAGAU
RNAcentral lists this long non-coding RNA (262 nucleotides) under Medicago truncatula (barrel medic). Its description in RNAcentral is "long non-coding RNA (MTRU_LNC007592)". Lineage: Eukaryota; Viridiplantae; Streptophyta; Magnoliopsida; Fabales; Fabaceae. The record is from RNAcentral.